GUUAUUUUGAACUGCAAGUCACUCUGGAUAAGAGCGUCUGCUAAAUGACUCAAA
This is a non-coding RNA of Salmo salar (Atlantic salmon), 54 nucleotides long. The record is from Rfam. NCBI's taxonomy places the organism in Eukaryota, Metazoa, Chordata, Actinopteri, Salmoniformes, Salmonidae.